This 726-nucleotide ribosomal RNA is filed under the name uncultured bacterium. RNAcentral's name for it is "bacterial SSU rRNA". It matches the Rfam family "Bacterial small subunit ribosomal RNA", at positions 778 to 1496 of the family's 1533-position model. The record is from RNAcentral.
UUAGAUACCCUGGUAGUCCACACUGUAAACGAUGGAUACUAGGUGUAGGGAAUAUUAAGUUUUCUGUGCCGUCGCAAACGCAAUAAGUAUCCCACCUGGGGAGUACGACCGCAAGGUUGAAACUCAAAGGAAUUGACGGGGGCCCGCACAAGCAGUGGAGUAUGUGGUUUAAUUCGAAGCAACGCGAAGAACCUUACCAGGGCUUGACAUAUACAGGAAUAUGCUAGAGAUAGCAUAGCUCUUCGGAGUCUGUAUACAGGUGGUGCAUGGUUGUCGUCAGCUCGUGUCGUGAGAUGUUGGGUUAAGUCCCGCAACGAGCGCAACCCCUGUUUCUAGUUGCCAGCACGUAAAGGUGGGAACUCUAGAGAGACUGCCGGUGAUAAAUCGGAGGAAGGUGGGGACGACGUCAAAUCAUCAUGCCCUUUAUGUCCUGAGCUACACACGUACUACAAUGGCUACAACAAAGAGAAGCGAAGCAGAGAAUGUGGUGCAAAACUCAAAAAAGUANUCUCAGUNUCGGAAUUGAAGGCUGAAAUUCGCCUUCAUGAAGCCGGAAUUGCUAGUAAUGGGCAGGUCAGCAUACUGCCGUGGAAUACGUUCCCCGGGCCUUGUACACANCCGCCCGUCACACCAUGNAGAAGUNGGGAAUACCCGAAGCCUGUGAGCUAACUNUAAGAGGCAGCAGUCGAAGGUAGAAUCAUGAUUGGGGGUGAAAGUCUAACAAAG